GUGACAGCAAAUUUUAUGUUGCCGUAAACCGGAAGUUGCCCGUGUGUGACGCCAAACACGUGGUUUGAUAAAGAGAUAAAUUGAGGCGCAGCCUCAUUAACAUUCUCUCUUCCUUGUCGCGGUGCAGGAGGAAGGAGUGGCGGCUACAAAGAACUAAGAAAUCAGCAGUUUUAAAGCCUAAAAUGCGGAAGGAUGCGUUAUGAAAACCGUUUGAGGUGGGAUGUCAGGAGUCUACUUGUUGACCCAAUGUCUCAAUCUGAGAAAUUUAUACUGAUUUCAAAUGUUACAUAUCCUGGAAGAGCUACCUGUAAAAAAAGACAGUUUUAAUUUAAAGCCUAAACGACAAUAAACUACUCUGCAAAAAAAGUAAAGCCUCAGAUUUUCUGUGUAAAUGUUUUUCCAAGGUGUGAAGUUUUUUUAGAUGAGUUCCUAUUGGAUUACAGCUUCAGAUGUUCGAGUGUAGAUUGUUUCAGUCUAAAGUUUUGCGCCUCACUUGAUCAUGAUCUCUUUUGUAAAUGUCCUCAACAUCUUUUCACUCAGUUUGCAGGAGGCUUUGUACAAAAAUUCUUUCUUGACUUGAACACAUUUUAUUCAUACACCUAAAAAACCAGGAAACAAAAAAGUAAACGUUAUAUUGGGAAAGAAAUGCAUGAAAAAUGUACAGUGCAAGUUGAGAUGCAAACUCAAGAACAAAGCAAAUUCACCUGCAAAGGUUUUCCAAACUGUAUGUUGGAUUAUACUUUUGGUGUAAAAAGAAAUUCUGACAGAGGAGCAUAUGAACAAACAGAAUACAAUGGAUGUUUAGCAAGAAGAAAACGAUAAACAUUCCAGUAGUUUUUCGUGUUUACAACAAAAAGCAUAAACUGGGACAGAUUAUCGAUGCAGAUUAAUACUUGGCUCUCUUGCCUCAAAGAAAAAAAGGUUGUUUCAGCACUCGGAGACAUGCUUGUUUCCUCAGAAUCUUCUGAAGUUGGAUUCCCAUCUUUGUAAAUGCCAGAUUGUUCCAAAUACCCCAUAGCAGCUCAUCUUUUGAUUGUUGGUUUAGUUGUUUCUUACACCCUUAAAUAUCUGGAGCAUGAAGAAGCGUGAAUAUUAAAUGUUCAAUAAUGGUAACAUCCAACAUUAGACAAUGUGAAUUUCUCUCUGAGAUUAAUAAAGUAUAUAUCCAUUCAUUCGCUACUUUUUUGCUAGCUGGUUUUAGCCAGAACACUCUGGUUCAAAUCUAACUGAACUUAUUCCGUUAACUGUUAAAAUUCAUUCAGCAUUUGUCGUGUCCAGUAAGUUUAUAUAGCUAGUUUUGUGAGUAAAUGUAUUAAAUCUAAUAGUUUUAAGUGUAGAAUUGAAGUUCGUUUCCAGCUUUAGCUUAUUUAGCCACAGCGCUAAUGCUAGGUAGCUGAACGUCUUAACGCCACAGAUGGUUGUCAUGGAAACGGUUUCCAAUUUGUCAGUAACUUAAUGCCUUUACUCCUGGGAGUCCCAAGACAUGAGAUCAUGUUUUGUUUUUUCAAGAUGCAAUUUGUCAUUGUAAUAAGUUUAAAUAAUUUUAAAUAAACCUGUAAAAUCAUGUGAGGUUGCACAGAACACAUUUAUACAAAACAAGACCAUUUAAACAAUUUAAAGAGUAAUCACAAACCAGCUUGUAAGUUUUAUUUUUUUUACAUACUGGUCAAACCAGUUUAGUUAAACUGUCUUAUUUUGUUAGAGCAUUAAGUUUUGUGGACACACGGCAAAAAAUUGCUAUAUGGAGUUAAAUUAAUUGUUGGAAUUAGAUUCAUUUAGUUGAAUAUAUUUUUCUUUUUUAAAACUUUAUGAAAGCACAUUUUAAAACUGAAUUUGUCUUUCAGACAAACAUUAUUUCUGCUCAGAAACAUUGGUUAAAAUUCAC
Molecule: long non-coding RNA, 1885 nt
Organism: Poecilia reticulata (guppy)
Lineage: Eukaryota; Metazoa; Chordata; Actinopteri; Cyprinodontiformes; Poeciliidae
Source: RefSeq, a predicted model, not a curated record